Molecule: ribosomal RNA, 253 nt
Filed under: uncultured bacterium
Lineage: Bacteria
Description: partial 16S ribosomal RNA
Rfam family: Bacterial small subunit ribosomal RNA
Source: RNAcentral
UACGAAGGGUCCAAGCGUUAUCCGGAUUUAUUGGGUUUAAAGGGUGCGUAGGUGGCUUAUUAAGUCAGUGGUGAAAGCCUGAUGCUUAACAUCAGAACUGCCAUUGAUACUGAUGAGCUUGAGUAUAGUUGAGGUUGGCGGAAUGUGUCAUGUAGCGGUGAAAUGCUUAGAUAUGACACAGAACACCGAUUGCGAAGGCAGCUAGCUAAGCUAUAACUGACACUGAGGCACGAAAGCGUGGGUAGCAAACAGG